UCUCAGUUCGGAUUGGAGUCUGNAACCCGACUCCAUGAAGCUGGAUUCGCUAGUAAUCGCGCAUCAGCCACGGCGCGGUGAAUACGUUCCCGGGCCUUGUACACACCGCCCGUCAAGCCAUGGAAGCCGGGAGUGCCUGAAGUGCGUGAGCGCAAGCAGCGCCCUAAGGUAAAACCGGUGACUGGGGCUAAGUCGUAACAAGGUAGC
This 207-nucleotide ribosomal RNA is filed under the name uncultured bacterium. RNAcentral's name for it is "partial 16S ribosomal RNA". It matches the Rfam family "Bacterial small subunit ribosomal RNA", at positions 1286 to 1500 of the family's 1533-position model. The record is from RNAcentral.